AGUGAACGCUGGCGGCAGGCCUAACACAUGCAAGUCGAGCGGCAGCGCGGGGGCAACCCUGGCGGCGAGCGGCGGACGGGUGAGGAAUUCGUCGGAAUCUGCCUUUUUGUGGGGGAUCACGUAGGGAAACUUACGCUAAUACCGCAUACGUCCUACGGGAGAAAGUGGUGGACCGCAAGGCCUUACGCAGAAAGAUGAGCCGACGACCGAUUAGCUAGUUGGUGGGGUAAAGGCCCACCAAGGCGACGAUCGGUAGCUGGUCUGAGGGGAUGAUCAGCCACACUGGGACUGAGACACGGCCCAGACUCCUACGGGAGGCAGCAGUGGGGAAUAUUGGACAAUGGGCGCAAGCCUGAUCCAGCCAUGCCGCGUGUGUGAAGAAGGCCUUCGGGUUGUAAAGCACUUUUGUCCGGAAAGAAAUCCCUGGAGCUAAUACCUUCGGGGGAUGACGGUACCGGAAGAAUAAGCACCGGCUAACUUCGUG
Molecule: ribosomal RNA, 484 nt
Filed under: uncultured bacterium
Lineage: Bacteria
Description: partial 16S ribosomal RNA
Rfam family: Bacterial small subunit ribosomal RNA
Source: RNAcentral